GAUGAACGCUAGCGACAGGCCUAACACAUGCAAGUCGAGGGGUAACAGUGCUGCUUGCAGCAGCUGACGACCGGCGCACGGGUGCGUAACGCGUAUGCAACCUACCUUAUACAGAGGGAUAGCCCGGAGAAAUUCGGAUUAAUACCUCAUGGUAAUCUAAUAUCGCAUGAUUUUAGAUUUAAAGAUUUAUCGGUAUAAGAUGGGCAUGCGUAGUAUUAGAUAGUUGGUGGGUAACGGCCUACCAAGUCUACGAUCUAUAGCUGGUUUUAGAGGAUGAUCAGCAACACUGGGACUGAGACACGGCCCAGACUCCUACGGGAGGCAGCAGUGGGGAAUCUUGGACAAUGGGCGCAAGCCUGAUCCAGCCAUGCCGCGUGAGUGA
Molecule: ribosomal RNA, 382 nt
Filed under: uncultured Alphaproteobacteria bacterium
Lineage: Bacteria; Pseudomonadati; Pseudomonadota; Alphaproteobacteria
Description: bacterial SSU rRNA
Rfam family: Bacterial small subunit ribosomal RNA
Source: RNAcentral